Molecule: unclassified non-coding RNA, 619 nt
Filed under: Hevea brasiliensis (rubber tree)
Lineage: Eukaryota; Viridiplantae; Streptophyta; Magnoliopsida; Malpighiales; Euphorbiaceae
Source: RNAcentral
AUUCAUCAUAACCUUUGUUUCAUGCCCAGUGAAAAUGACAGCCCCCACAAUGUACUGGGUGUUUCUCAGACUGCAGCCCCGUAAAAGAAGUUGGUUUGGACUAAGUGGUAAGGUUUGCUUUUGAAUUAUCAGAUUGCCAGUGAAUGUGUACAAUGAGUUAUUAGGUUGCUCACAUUGUAACUCACCUCUGAAUGUAGAUAUUUUCUCAGGAGACACAUAAUCCCAGGUCCUCUCCAGUGCUUUUCUGAUCUUUAAAUUAGUUUCACCAUCCAAAUUUGCCGUCUCAAUGUAGCAGACCCCAUCUGGGUUUGUGCUAGCAAGAAAAAUAAGAUCUGCCGGAAAGAACUCAUCCUGCUUAACUCUCACGAUAUCUCCAGCCUGCAGCUUCUUCCAAGGUACAUUUACCCAUUUCUGAUCUUGCAACAUGUCUAUGGAGGAAUUAUUAAUAGACUUGUCAUUCUGAAAACGUUUCCAGUCCUCCCAAGCCUCCUUAAUAAGAGAAACGAGAAGCACCAUGCUCAAAGGAAGCACAUUUGUUAUUGGACUUACAGGACUGAUUGGUGUGCAUGACAAAAUUGAGAUCAUAAGGAAGUACAGAUUAGCCACCCGCCUGAACUGU